RNAcentral lists this ribosomal RNA (679 nucleotides) under Neodeightonia rattanicola. Its description in RNAcentral is "partial 18S small subunit ribosomal RNA". It matches the Rfam family "Eukaryotic large subunit ribosomal RNA", at positions 241 to 941 of the family's 3401-position model. Lineage: Eukaryota; Fungi; Ascomycota; Dothideomycetes; Botryosphaeriales; Botryosphaeriaceae. The record is from RNAcentral.
GCCAUGUGAACCUCCUUCGACGAGUCGAGUUGUUUGGGAAUGCAGCUCUAAAUGGGAGGUAAAUUUCUCUAAGCUAAAUACCGGCCAGAGACCGAUAGCGCACAAGUAGAGUGAUCGAAAGAUGAAAAGCACUUUGGAAAGAGAGUUAAAAAGUACGUGAAAUUGUUGAAAGGGAAGCGCUUGCAACCAGACUUGUCCGCAGUUGCUCAGCCGGUCUCCUGACCCGGCGUACUCUUCUGCGGCCAGGCCAGCAUCAGUUCGGGCGGUCGGAUAAAGGCCUCGGGAAUGUGGCUCCUCUCGGGGAGUGUUAUAGCCCGGGGCGGAAUGCGGCCAGCCUGGACUGAGGAUCUCGCUUCGGCAAGGAUGCUGGCGUAAUGGUUGUAAGCGGCCCGUCUUGAAACACGGACCAAGGAGUCUAACAUCUAUGCGAGUGUUUGGGUGUCAAACCCAUACGCGUAAUGAAAGUGAACGGAGGUGGGAACCCGCAAGGGCGCACCAUCGGCCGAUCCUGAUGUCUUCGGAUGGAUUUGAGCAAGAGCAUAGCUGUUGGGACCCGAAAGAUGGUGAACUAUGCCUGAAUAGGGUGAAGCCAGAGGAAACUCUGGUGGAGGCUCGCAGCGGUUCUGACGUGCAAAUCGAUCGUCAAAUUUGGGUAUAGGGGCGAAAGACUAAUCGAACC